This 73-nucleotide transfer RNA is filed under the name Azospira oryzae. RNAcentral describes it as "tRNA-Asp". It matches the Rfam family "tRNA". From Rfam's summary of the family: Transfer RNA (tRNA) molecules are approximately 80 nucleotides in length. Their secondary structure includes four short double-helical elements and three loops (D, anti-codon, and T loops). Further hydrogen bonds mediate the characteristic L-shaped molecular structure. tRNAs have two regions of fundamental functional importance: the anti-codon, which is responsible for specific mRNA codon recognition, and the 3' end, to which the tRNAs corresponding amino acid is attached (by aminoacyl-tRNA synthetases). tRNAs cope with the degeneracy of the genetic code in two manners: having more than one tRNA (with a specific anti-codon) for a particular amino acid; and 'wobble' base-pairing, i.e. permitting non-standard base-pairing at the 3rd anti-codon position. Lineage: Bacteria; Pseudomonadati; Pseudomonadota; Betaproteobacteria; Rhodocyclales; Rhodocyclaceae. The record is from RNAcentral.
GGGGCGGUAGCUCAACUGGGAGAGCAACAGGCUGUCAACCUGUUGGUUGCGGGUUCGAGUCCCGUCCGCUCCA